RNAcentral lists this ribosomal RNA (253 nucleotides) under uncultured bacterium. Its description in RNAcentral is "partial 16S ribosomal RNA". It matches the Rfam family "Bacterial small subunit ribosomal RNA", at positions 524 to 776 of the family's 1533-position model. The record is from RNAcentral.
UACGUAGGGUGCAAGCGUUGUCCGGAUUUAUUGGGUUUAAAGGGUGCGUAGGCGGCUUUGUAAGUCAGUGGUGAAAUACUCUAGCUUAACUAGAGGGGUGCCAUUGAUACUGCGGAGCUUGAGUACAGAUGAGGUGGGCGGAAUUGACGGUGUAGCGGUGAAAUGCAUAGAUAUCGUCAAGAACACCGAUAGCGAAGGCAGCUUACUGGGCUGUAACUGACGCUGAUGCGCGAAAGUGUGGGGAUCAAACAGG